AGUCAAUAUUUAGGGUGUUUCCUGUUUCUACCAAUGUUGUAGCUGACGAAGAAAAGAGGCACAUUUCCUCUUGUUGACUGGCAAGCUGCAUCUAACUUUUAGAAGUCCUUGUAGUACUACCCGUUAAAUUAAUGGUUGCAUCAUACUCAACAUCUCAAUGGAAUGUUCUAUUAUAAUUCCUUUUUCUUCAUGAAUUUAUUGCAUCUGCUAUGGUAGGUCUUAUGGAGAGUGGGAGACUAGGAAGCUCACCUUAUACUGAGAGUUGGACAUGCUUACGGGUUUGUCUCAUUCCAAGGAGGUCCAGUUGAUCUCACGCUGGAGAUUGCACUCGAGAAUCAAUAACCCAAAACUGUACAGUUCGUGUACAUAAGAGUAGGCAGCUGAGUUCAGAAUGGUAGUUGGAAGUUGGAAUGCAGACCAAACUGACCAGUGGCUGAGAAUCACAGGUGAUCCAUGGAACGGCAGUAGCUCUUUCUCCUGCCGACAUGGAUCCACAUGGGCCUGGAGGACCAGGUUGGGGAGGCCCUGGAGGCCCCGGAGG
Molecule: long non-coding RNA, 541 nt
Organism: Lolium rigidum
Lineage: Eukaryota; Viridiplantae; Streptophyta; Magnoliopsida; Poales; Poaceae
Exons: 3
Source: RefSeq, a predicted model, not a curated record